This 468-nucleotide ribosomal RNA is filed under the name uncultured bacterium. RNAcentral describes it as "bacterial SSU rRNA". It matches the Rfam family "Bacterial small subunit ribosomal RNA", at positions 331 to 793 of the family's 1533-position model. The record is from RNAcentral.
CCAGACUCCUACGGGAGGCAGCAGUGAGGAAUAUUGGUCAAUGGGCGGGAGCCUGAACCAGCCAAGUCGCGUGAGGGAGGACGGCCCUAUGGGUUGUAAACCUCUUUUGCCGGGGAGCAACGGGCGUCACGUGUGGCGCCACUGAGAGUACCCGGAGAAAAAGCAUCGACUAACUCCGUGCCAGCAGCCGCGGUAAUACGGAGGAUGCGAGCGUUAUCCGGAUUUAUUGGGUUUAAAGGGUGCGUAGGCGGUCGGAUAAGUUAGAGGUGAAAUCCCGAGGCUCAACUUCGGAAUUGCCUCUGAUACUGUUCGGCUAGAGAGUAGUUGCGGUAGGCGGAAUGUAUGGUGUAGCGGUGAAAUGCUUAGAGAUCAUACAGAACACCGAUUGCGAAGGCAGCUUACCAAGCUACUUCUGACGUUGAGGCACGAAAGCGUGGGGAGCAAACAGGAUUAGAUACCCGUGUACUG